This 98-nucleotide small nuclear RNA is filed under the name Jaculus jaculus (lesser Egyptian jerboa). Lineage: Eukaryota; Metazoa; Chordata; Mammalia; Rodentia; Dipodidae. The record is from RNAcentral.
GUGCCUGUUCAUAUACACUACAAUUAUAACAAUACAGAAUAUUAGCAUGGCCCCUGGGCAAUGAUGACAUACAAAUUCAUGAACCAUGCUAUGUUUUA